Molecule: transfer RNA, 68 nt
Filed under: Marmota monax (woodchuck)
Lineage: Eukaryota; Metazoa; Chordata; Mammalia; Rodentia; Sciuridae
Description: tRNA.Ala
Rfam family: tRNA (bases 5-65)
About the family: Transfer RNA (tRNA) molecules are approximately 80 nucleotides in length. Their secondary structure includes four short double-helical elements and three loops (D, anti-codon, and T loops).
Source: RNAcentral
GGAUUGUAGCUCAGUGGUAGAGCGCCUGCCUUGCAUGUGUGAGGCAUUGGGUUUGAUUCUCAACACCA